GACGAACGCUGGCGGCGUGCUUAACACAUGCAGGUCGAACGGUAAGGCCCUUCGGGGUACACGAGUGGCGAACGGGUGAGUAACACGUGGGUGAUCUGCCCUGCACUUCGGGAUAAGCCUGGGAAACUGGGUCUAAUACCGGAUAGGACCACUGCCUGCAUGGGUGGUGGUGGAAAGCUUUUGCGGUGUGGGAUGGGCCCGCGGCCUAUCAGCUUGUUGGUGGGGUGAUGGCCUACCAAGGCGACGACGGGUAGCCGGCCUGAGAGGGUGACCGGCCACACUGGGACUGCGAUACGGCCCAGACUCCUACGGGAGGCAGCAGUGGGGAAUAUUGCACAAUGGGCGCAAGCCUGAUGCAGUGACGCCGCGUGAGGGAUGACGGCCUUCGGGUUGCAAACCUCUUUCAGCACCGACGAAGCGCAAGUGACGGUAGGUGCAGAAGAAGGACCGGCCAACUACGUGCCAGCCGCCGCAGUAA
This 478-nucleotide ribosomal RNA is filed under the name uncultured bacterium. Its description in RNAcentral is "partial 16S ribosomal RNA". It matches the Rfam family "Bacterial small subunit ribosomal RNA", at positions 28 to 523 of the family's 1533-position model. The record is from RNAcentral.